UACGGGGGGGGCAAGCGUUGUUCGGAAUUACUGGGCGUAAAGGGUUUGUAGGUGGCCCGCUAAGUCACACGUGAAAUCCCUCAGCUUAACUGGGGAACUGCGUGUGAGACUGGCAGGCUCGAGGGCAGGAGAGGAACGCGGAAUUCCAGGUGUAGCGGUGAAAUGCGUAGAUAUCGAGAGGAACACCUGCGGCGAAGGCGGGUUGCUGGGCCGACACUGACGCUGAUGCGCGAAAGCCAGGGGAGCGAACGGG
Molecule: ribosomal RNA, 253 nt
Filed under: uncultured bacterium
Lineage: Bacteria
Description: partial 16S ribosomal RNA
Rfam family: Bacterial small subunit ribosomal RNA
Source: RNAcentral